RNAcentral lists this ribosomal RNA (468 nucleotides) under uncultured bacterium. Its description in RNAcentral is "partial 16S ribosomal RNA". It matches the Rfam family "Bacterial small subunit ribosomal RNA", at positions 28 to 507 of the family's 1533-position model. The record is from RNAcentral.
GACGAACGCUGGCGGCGUGCUUAACACAUGCAAGUCGAACGGAAAGGCCCUGCUUUUGUGGGGUGCUCGAGUGGCGAACGGGUGAGUAACACGUGAGUAACCUGCCCUUGACUUUGGGAUAACUUCAGGAAACUGGGGCUAAUACCGGAUAGGAGCUCCUGCUGCAUGGUGGGGGUUGGAAAGUUUCGGCGGUUGGGGAUGGACUCGCGGCUUAUCAGCUUGUUGGUGGGGUAGUGGCUUACCAAGGCUUUGACGGGUAGCCGGCCUGAGAGGGUGACCGGCCACAUUGGGACGGAGAUACGGCCCAGACCACUACGGGAGGCAGCAGUGGGGAAUAUUGCACAAUGGGCGGAAGCCUGAUGCAGCAACGCCGCGUGCGGGAUGACGGCCUUCGGGUUGGAAACCGCUUUCGCCUGUGACGAAGCGUGAGUGACGGUAAUGGGUAAAGAAGCACCGGCUAACUACGUG